GACGAACGCUGGCGGCGUGCCUAACACAUGCAAGUCGAACGGAAAGGCCGUGCUUUUGUGGGGUGCUCGAGUGGCGAACGGGUGAGUAACACGUGAGUAACCUGCCCUUUACUGUGGGAUAACUUCAGGAAACUGGGGCUAAUACCGGAUAGGAGCUCCUGCUGCAUGGUGGUGGUUGGAAAGUUUCGGCUGUUGUGGUUGGAUGUGGGGCUUAUGAGCUUGUUGGUGGGGUAGUGGCUAAGCCAGGCUGUGGCGGAUAGCCCACAUGGGAGGGUGACCAGGGACAAUGGGACUGAGGGACGGCCCAGACGGGAACGGGGGACAGCGGUGGAAAGUCUUGCACAAUGGGCCGAAGGGUGAGAAAACGGUGUCGGGUGGGGAAUGACGGUUAUGGGGGUAGAAAGGGCGUUAGGCUGAGACGUUGCGGUUGUGACGGUAACGGGUGAAGAAGCACCGGCUAACUACGUG
RNAcentral lists this ribosomal RNA (468 nucleotides) under uncultured bacterium. RNAcentral's name for it is "partial 16S ribosomal RNA". It matches the Rfam family "Bacterial small subunit ribosomal RNA", at positions 28 to 507 of the family's 1533-position model. The record is from RNAcentral.